GCACAGAGUUAGCCGGUGCUUAUUCUGCAGCUAAUGUCAUCGUCCAUGGGUAUUAACCAUGGAGUCUUCUUCACUGCUUAAAGUGCUUUACAAUCCGAAGACCUUCUUCACACACGCGGCAUGGCUGCAUCAGGGUUUCCCCCAUUGUGCAAUAUUCCCCA
Molecule: ribosomal RNA, 161 nt
Filed under: uncultured bacterium
Lineage: Bacteria
Description: partial 16S ribosomal RNA
Source: RNAcentral